Molecule: ribosomal RNA, 349 nt
Filed under: uncultured bacterium
Lineage: Bacteria
Description: bacterial SSU rRNA
Rfam family: Bacterial small subunit ribosomal RNA
Source: RNAcentral
GAGUUUGAUCGUGGCUCAGGAUGAACGCCGGCGGUGUGCCUAAUACAUGCAAGUCGUACGCACUGGCCCAACUGAUUGAUGGUGCUUGCACCUGAUUGAUGAUGGAUCACCAGUGAGUGGCGAACGGGUGAGUAACACGUAGGUAACCUGCCCCGGAGCGGGGGAUAACAUUUGGAAACAGAUGCUAAUACCGCAUAACAACAAAAGCCACAUAGCUUUUGUUUGAAAGAUGGCUUUGGCUAUCACUCUGGGAUGGACCUGCGGUGCAUUAGCCAGUUGGUAAGGUACGGCUUACCAAGGCAUGAUGGCAUAGCCGAGUUGAGAGACUGAUCGGCCACAAUGGAACUGA